UUUAGACUCUUUUGUCAGCAGGUGCACUGCUCUGACACCCCCACCCCCUCACCCCCCACAACACACACCUGACAAACUGCCUCAUCAUUUGCAUGCCCUGGAUCCACUCCCACCCAGCAGGCAAGGGAGUCAGUUGAGUCGCUAAUGCUCAACAUGAAAUGGAAAGCAGAAGAAGAAAAGCUAGAGGUCAUGGCUGUGAGGCACCCCAGCCCUGUAGGACCUCCCGGGUGAAGUUACAAUGGUAACUUGGCCUAGGUACUGCUGACCUCCUGAAGACUCACAGUCUGUGGAACCCAGGGAACCAGGAAGAACGUCCUGAGAGGACACCUGGCUGGUACCAGAGGUUGGGUGCCUCUCCAUAUGCUGGCAGACCUUUA
Talpa occidentalis (Iberian mole) is the source of this 377-nucleotide long non-coding RNA. RefSeq lists it as uncharacterized. Lineage: Eukaryota; Metazoa; Chordata; Mammalia; Eulipotyphla; Talpidae. The transcript has 3 exons. The record is from RefSeq and is a predicted model, not a curated record.